RNAcentral lists this ribosomal RNA (254 nucleotides) under uncultured bacterium. Its description in RNAcentral is "partial 16S ribosomal RNA". It matches the Rfam family "Bacterial small subunit ribosomal RNA", at positions 524 to 776 of the family's 1533-position model. The record is from RNAcentral.
UACGGGGGGGGCAAGCGUUGUUCGGAUUUACUGGGCGUAAAGGGCGCGUAGGCGGCCAGCACAAGUCAGUUGUGAAAUCUCCGAGCUUAACUCGGAACGGUCAACUGAUACUGUGCGGCUAGAGUGCGGAAGGGGCAACUGGAAUUCUUGGUGUAGCGGUGAAAUGCGUAGAUAUUGGGAAGAACACCGGUGGCGAAGGCGGCGACCUGGUCCGAUACUGACGCUGAGGCGCGAAAGCGUGGGGAGCAAACAGG